CAAAUGUUCAGUGCCUAGGCAUUGGAUCUACUCUAUGUAGACUNUACCCACUAACGAAGANCAUUNUUCCUUUUUAGGCUCAUGGGUAAGAGGGUCGAGUGUGGAUACCCUCGGGUGGAAGCCUCAANCCAUGAUCUCAAAUCAGACCAGACUACCCGCUGAACUUAAGCAUAUUAAUAAGCGGAGGAAAAGAAACCAACAGGGAUUCCCUCAGUAAUGGCGAAUGAAGCGGGAAUAGCUCAAAUUUGAAAUCUCUUAGGAGAAUUGUAGUUUGUAGAGGCGACUUCGAUGUCAGCCUGGUCACAAGUCCUCUGGAAUGGGGCAUCAUUGAGGGUGAGAAUCCCGUAAAUGGACCAGGUACUGACGCAAUUGAAUCGUCUUCAAAGAGUCGGGUUGUUUGGGAAUGCAGCCCAAAGUCGGUGGUAUAUUCCAUCUAAAGCUAAAUAUUGGCGAGAGACCGAUAGCAAACAAGUACCGUGAGGGAAAGAUGAAAAGAACUUUGAAAAGAGAGUUAAAAGUACGUGAAAUUGCUAAAAGGGAAACGAUUGAAACCAGUGUUGUUGCGGGGAAAUCAGCUGUCUGGGCAACCGGGCGGUGCACUUUCUUCGUGGCAAGUCCACAUCAGUUAAGGGUUGGGUAAACGGAGGUAGGAAUGUAGCUGCUUGCAGUGUUAUAGACUACCUUUAUGCCCGGCCAGUGACUGAGGCUUGCAGCGUGUUUUUGGUAACUCACAACUACGCUCAGGAUGUGGACGAAAUGGUUUUAAACGACC
This 772-nucleotide ribosomal RNA is filed under the name uncultured fungus. RNAcentral describes it as "eukaryotic LSU rRNA". The stretch from base 132 to 772 matches the Rfam family "Eukaryotic large subunit ribosomal RNA", at positions 1 to 649 of the family's 3401-position model. The record is from RNAcentral. Lineage: Eukaryota; Fungi.